This 467-nucleotide ribosomal RNA is filed under the name uncultured bacterium. RNAcentral describes it as "partial 16S ribosomal RNA". It matches the Rfam family "Bacterial small subunit ribosomal RNA", at positions 29 to 507 of the family's 1533-position model. The record is from RNAcentral.
ACGCACGCUGGCGGCGUGCUUAACCCAUGCAAGUCGAACGGAAAGGCCCUGCUUUUGUGGGGUGCUCGAGUGGCGAACGGGUGAGUAACACGUGAGUAACCUGCCCUUGACUUUGGGAUAACUUCAGGAAACUGGGGCUAAUACCGGAUAGGAGCUCCUGCUGCAUGGUGGGGGUUGGAAAGUUUCGGCGGUUGGGGAUGGACUCGCGGCUUAUCAGCUUGUUGGUGGGGUAGUGGCUUACCAAGGCUUUGACGGGUAGCCGGCCUGAGAGGGUGACCGGCCACAUUGGGACUGAGAUACGGCCCAGACUCCUACGGGAGGCAGCAGUGGGGAAUAUUGCACAAUGGGCGGAAGCCUGAUGCAGCAACGCCGCGUGCGGGAUGACGGCCUUCGGGUUGUAAACCGCUUUCGCCUGUGACGAAGCGUGAGUAACGGUAAUGGGUAAAGAAGCACCGGCUAACUACGUG